GAUGAACGCUGGCGGCGUGCCUAAUACAUGCAAGUCGAGCGAACAGACGAGGAGCUUGUUCCGUUGACGUUAGCGGCGGACGUGUGAGUAACACGUAUAUAACCUACCUAUAAUACUGGUAUAACUUCGGAAAACCGGAGCUAAUACCGGAUAAUAUUCUGAUCCGCAUUGUUCGAUAGUGAAAUAUGGCUUUUCUAUCACUUCUAGAUGGACCUGCGCCGUAUUAGCUAGUUGGUAAGUUAACGGCUUACCAAGGCAACGAUACGUAGACGAAGUGAGAGAGUGGUAGCCCGCCUGGGAGGUUGGCCACGGUCAAGGGUACUAAGGGAGGGACCAGACGGGAAUGGUCGGCAAUGGGGGGAAGCAUGACAGAACAACGGGGAGUGAGUGAUGAAAGUGUUGGGAUCGUAAAAAUCUGUUACGGGGGGAAAACCAACGUGUACGUAAAUGUGCACGGAUUGACGGUAACUAAUAAGAAAGCCACGGCUAACUACGUG
This 497-nucleotide ribosomal RNA is filed under the name uncultured bacterium. RNAcentral's name for it is "partial 16S ribosomal RNA". It matches the Rfam family "Bacterial small subunit ribosomal RNA", at positions 28 to 507 of the family's 1533-position model. The record is from RNAcentral.